RNAcentral lists this ribosomal RNA (497 nucleotides) under uncultured bacterium. Its description in RNAcentral is "partial 16S ribosomal RNA". It matches the Rfam family "Bacterial small subunit ribosomal RNA", at positions 28 to 507 of the family's 1533-position model. The record is from RNAcentral.
GAUGAACGCUGGCGGCGUGCCUAAUACAUGCAAGUCGAGCGAACGGACGAGAAGCUUGCUUCUCUGAUGUUAGCGGCGGACGGGUGAGUAACACGUGGAUAACCUACCUAUAAGACUGGGAUAACUUCGGGAAACCGUAGCUAAUACCGGAUAACAUUUUGAACCGCAUGGUUCAAAAGUGAAAGACGGUCUUGCUGUCACUUAUAGAUGGAUCCGCGCUGCAUUAGCUAGUUGGUAAGGUAACGGCUUACCAAGGCAACGAUGCAUAGCCGACCUGAGAGGGUGAUCGGCCACACUGGAACUGAGACACGGUCCAGACUCCUACGGGAGGCAGCAGUAGGGAAUCUUCCGCAAUGGGCGAAAGCCUGACGGAGCAACGCCGCGUGAGUGAUGAAGGUCUUCGGAUCGUAAAACUCUGUUAUUAGGGAAGAACAUAUGUGUAAGUAACUGUGCACAUCUUGACGGUACCUAAUCAGAAAGCCACGGCUAACUACGUG